GCAAGUCGAACGCGAACGGGCUUCGGCCCAAGUAGAGUGGCGGACGGGUGAGUAAUGCGUGGGAAUCUACCCUCGAGCGGGGGACAACCCGGGGAAACCCGGGCUAAUACCGCAUACGUCCUACGGGAGAAAGCGGGCCUCUACACUAUGCUCGCACUCGAGGAUGAGCCCACGUCCGAUUAGCUAGUUGGUAGGGUAACGGCCUACCAAGGCCACGAUCGGUAGCUGGUCUGAGAGGAUGAUC
Molecule: ribosomal RNA, 244 nt
Filed under: uncultured bacterium
Lineage: Bacteria
Description: partial 16S ribosomal RNA
Rfam family: Bacterial small subunit ribosomal RNA
Source: RNAcentral